RNAcentral lists this ribosomal RNA (1546 nucleotides) under Salmonella enterica subsp. enterica serovar Enteritidis. RNAcentral describes it as "bacterial SSU rRNA". It matches the Rfam family "Bacterial small subunit ribosomal RNA". Lineage: Bacteria; Pseudomonadati; Pseudomonadota; Gammaproteobacteria; Enterobacterales; Enterobacteriaceae. The record is from RNAcentral.
AAAUUGAAGAGUUUGAUCAUGGCUCAGAUUGAACGCUGGCGGCAGGCCUAACACAUGCAAGUCGAACGGUAACAGGAAGCAGCUUGCUGCUUCGCUGACGAGUGGCGGACGGGUGAGUAAUGUCUGGGAAACUGCCUGAUGGAGGGGGAUAACUACUGGAAACGGUGGCUAAUACCGCAUAACGUCGCAAGACCAAAGAGGGGGACCUUCGGGCCUCUUGCCAUCAGAUGUGCCCAGAUGGGAUUAGCUUGUUGGUGAGGUAACGGCUCACCAAGGCGACGAUCCCUAGCUGGUCUGAGAGGAUGACCAGCCACACUGGAACUGAGACACGGUCCAGACUCCUACGGGAGGCAGCAGUGGGGAAUAUUGCACAAUGGGCGCAAGCCUGAUGCAGCCAUGCCGCGUGUAUGAAGAAGGCCUUCGGGUUGUAAAGUACUUUCAGCGGGGAGGAAGGUGUUGUGGUUAAUAACCGCAGCAAUUGACGUUACCCGCAGAAGAAGCACCGGCUAACUCCGUGCCAGCAGCCGCGGUAAUACGGAGGGUGCAAGCGUUAAUCGGAAUUACUGGGCGUAAAGCGCACGCAGGCGGUCUGUCAAGUCGGAUGUGAAAUCCCCGGGCUCAACCUGGGAACUGCAUUCGAAACUGGCAGGCUUGAGUCUUGUAGAGGGGGGUAGAAUUCCAGGUGUAGCGGUGAAAUGCGUAGAGAUCUGGAGGAAUACCGGUGGCGAAGGCGGCCCCCUGGACAAAGACUGACGCUCAGGUGCGAAAGCGUGGGGAGCAAACAGGAUUAGAUACCCUGGUAGUCCACGCCGUAAACGAUGUCUACUUGGAGGUUGUGCCCUUGAGGCGUGGCUUCCGGAGCUAACGCGUUAAGUAGACCGCCUGGGGAGUACGGCCGCAAGGUUAAAACUCAAAUGAAUUGACGGGGGCCCGCACAAGCGGUGGAGCAUGUGGUUUAAUUCGAUGCAACGCGAAGAACCUUACCUGGUCUUGACAUCCACAGAAGAAUCCAGAGAUGGAUUUGUGCCUUCGGGAACUGUGAGACAGGUGCUGCAUGGCUGUCGUCAGCUCGUGUUGUGAAAUGUUGGGUUAAGUCCCGCAACGAGCGCAACCCUUAUCCUUUGUUGCCAGCGGUCCGGCCGGGAACUCAAAGGAGACUGCCAGUGAUAAACUGGAGGAAGGUGGGGAUGACGUCAAGUCAUCAUGGCCCUUACGACCAGGGCUACACACGUGCUACAAUGGCGCAUACAAAGAGAAGCGACCUCGCGAGAGCAAGCGGACCUCAUAAAGUGCGUCGUAGUCCGGAUUGGAGUCUGCAACUCGACUCCAUGAAGUCGGAAUCGCUAGUAAUCGUGGAUCAGAAUGCCACGGUGAAUACGUUCCCGGGCCUUGUACACACCGCCCGUCACACCAUGGGAGUGGGUUGCAAAAGAAGUAGGUAGCUUAACCUUCGGGGGGGCGCUUACCACUUUGUGAUUCAUGACUGGGGUGAAGUCGUAACAAGGUAACCGUAGGGGAACCUGCGGUUGGAUCACCUCCUUACCUU